AACUGUUAUGUGCAUGAAUGAAAAGAUAUAUGUUUGUGAUAAAUGUUAUGUGUGUUAAAUGUUAUGUGACGAAUGGUACGGGUUUGUGAUAAGUGCUGCGUGUUUGAAAUAACUGUUAUGUGCAUGAAUGAAAAGAGUGAAGUGUAAAUGUGUGAUAUGCCGGAGUGUGUGUUAAAGAUCCUGAUAGUGUGUUGGCUCAUUGUCUGUGCUGUGUUUUUGGGAGGUUUGACACAUCUGACGUUAAAGCAGCUGAGAAAGUGUUGUGUGAAAUACUGUUCUGUCAGUAUUAAAGAAGUGUGGCAGGGGAAGGUUAAGAACAGGUGAAGCUGAUAGCACACAAGGGGAGCCCAGAUUUGCGGGGGCCGUUCUGGGUUGGCGCCUGGGCCGUUCGUGUGUGUGCUCGUGGACCUGCGGGGCCCUCGCUCAUUUGGCGGUUUGUCCGUUCACAAAGGGGGCGCAUUCAGUCAGUUGUCUUGGGCGAUAUAGCCGCCGUGCCUUAAGGCAGUGGGAUGUUCGGCUGUCUGUGGCGCAGUCUGCCGUGUUGUGCGAUAUAGCCGCUGGACCGACUAAACGGUGGGUUGUGUGACUGUCUGAAGCCUAUUCAGCUCCAGUCGUCGCCCAUUUGCCGGCCCAGUGUGUUUUCGCCCAAUCGGCGGCUGUUGCUUUAACUGCAGCCGGGGCCCCUGCUGGUCCGGUGUGUUUUCGCCCAGCCGGUGGCUUGUCUGCGCGCCUGGUGUUCGUUCACUCGGCUGUCUGUUCGGGGCUGCGUUGGGCCUGCGGGUGCUCAUGUGUCUGGUCUGGUUCGCUGGCCUGGGGCGUGUCGCGGCUUAGCUGGGGGCCCGACGGAUCAUAACUUAGAAGGGGUUGCUGAGAAGUAGGAAACUGUUACUAGCAGGUGUUAGAGCAGAAAAGUUGCUGAGGACCAGCAAUUGAAAGUAGGAAACUGUUACUAGCAGGUGUUAGAGCAGAAAAAUUGCUGAGGACCAGCAAUUACUGUUACUAGCAGGUGUUAGAGCAAAAAACAAAAAAAUUGCUGAGGACCAGCAAUUAAAAUAGGUCACUGAAAAGCCUACGGGACGGUGACCCUGGCCAGAAAUGUGUGAAUGCGCCGGCGCUGGUGUGAAUGAGAAGUGAGUUUUGUGAGUCGUAAGCGCUUUGUCAGUCUUACGUGUUGUCUUGUGUAUUGUCUUGUGCGCAAAGGUGACCUAACAAUUUAAUUUGCACAGGGUGUUAAUAUGAACAGGGGCCCCACCAGUUCAACAGCACUGGAAAAAAAAGGAAUGUGUAAUAAAGGUAUUGGUGUGAAGGUUUAAAGUUCAGGAACACAACGGCUGUUCCUUACAAGGGGAAGUAGGCCAUAUUACUGAAGGUUUCACGUAUAUGGGUAUAUGUGCUAGAAUAUAAAUAACAUUAUUUAACCACGCUAGCAUAACAAAAAAUGCACAAUCCUUUGUGGAGAUUGGGGUGCGGCCUUGAGAUCGGCCUGUGCCUGCUGGGCCUUAUCACUCUCGCCAUUGUUCUGCCAAUUGUUUUGCUUUUAUAAUCACACACACACACACACACACACACACACACACACACACACAUAUAUAUAUACACAUAUUCAUGUUUUGAAAAAGCGGCGGGAAAUGUAUGAAAUCUUUAUGAUUGCUUUGUUAUCUAGGCUACAAAAUUUGUGAAGCAUACGAUCAACCCCGUUACAGUCAAGAUCAGUCUGACAGUGUGUAAGAGGCGCAAUAUAUAUAUAUAUAGUAAUCCUGAAAAAAUUUAAAUAAAGUACUGUGGCCACAAAGGAUCAGAAUUGAUCCUAAGAUUACUAGCUGAAGUGUUGAUCAUGCUGAUUCACUCAUUAUCCGAAAGCGCAAACAGAGCAAUUUUUGAAAAACAUUUUGUGUGUUUAAAUUUUAGUGAUGAUUCUGACUGCAGCAACAAGGGGAUUUUAACUGAAAAGUGGGCAUAUGAGACGCAUAGAUUGAACAGACUUUAUGUGUUUACUGAAGACAAAGAACAGUGGAACGCAAUACGCAGUGCAAACUUACACAAGAUUGUGUUAGUGGACACAGCAUACGCGGCAUUGUGAAGAAAA
Long non-coding RNA from Anguilla anguilla (European eel), 2086 nucleotides. RefSeq lists it as uncharacterized. NCBI's taxonomy places the organism in Eukaryota, Metazoa, Chordata, Actinopteri, Anguilliformes, Anguillidae. The record is from RefSeq and is a predicted model, not a curated record. The transcript has 2 exons.